UAUCUAUUAAAAGGUCCAAUAUGUGCAUUUUCUAUGUUCGUGAUGUUUUCAGUAUGUACACACUUUCAGCAACCAGAAAGAGGAAUUACCCAUAGACGAAUCACCCAUAGACGAAUUACCCAAAGACGAAUUACCCAGAGAUAAAUUACCCAUAGACGAAUUACCCAUAGCCGAAUUACCCACAGAUGAAAUAACAUUACCAAC
RNAcentral lists this long non-coding RNA (204 nucleotides) under Mytilus galloprovincialis (Mediterranean mussel). Lineage: Eukaryota; Metazoa; Mollusca; Bivalvia; Mytilida; Mytilidae. The record is from RNAcentral.